GCCACUGCUAUUGGGGUUCGGCUAAGCCAUGCGAGUGGAGGGCGUCCCGCAAGGGAUGACCCCGCAGACGGCUCAGUAACACGUCGUCAACCCACCUUAGGGUGGGGGACAACCUCGGGAAACUGAGGAUAAUCCCCCAUAGGCGGGGGAGGCUAGAAUGCGCCCCCGCUGAAAGCUCAGGCGCCCUAGGACGGGACGGCGGCCUAUCAGGUAGUUGGUGGUGUGACG
RNAcentral lists this ribosomal RNA (228 nucleotides) under uncultured archaeon. Its description in RNAcentral is "partial 16S ribosomal RNA". It matches the Rfam family "Archaeal small subunit ribosomal RNA", at positions 23 to 246 of the family's 1478-position model. The record is from RNAcentral.